Long non-coding RNA from Scylla paramamosain (green mud crab), 769 nucleotides. RefSeq lists it as uncharacterized. The record is from RefSeq and is a predicted model, not a curated record. NCBI's taxonomy places the organism in Eukaryota, Metazoa, Arthropoda, Malacostraca, Decapoda, Portunidae. The transcript has 4 exons.
GCAAGGAGGAGGAGGCGGCCCGGGAUGCUGCCAGGUUGGUCACCAACUCCUCUACAACUGGAUGGACUUUUGGCAGAUCAAAUGUGGUUUUCUGCAGGAUUACAAAUCAGCUGUCACUAUAAUGCAUUGAGAAAGCCAAUCUCACCAUGAGUGUCUGGACGAGUGCCUCAUGAUUCUUGGGUGCCACCGUAGAGGUGAGCCAAACAGGGGGUGAUGCACGGUGUUUCCUCAGCAAUACCAGUCGUAUCCACAGCUGGCUUGGUGACAGCUCCUCCACAGGGCCCUUCAGCUCGGCCUGAAGACUCUCCCACACCACUGCAUGCAUGCUGUCUCCAUCACACUGCACAACAUGGGGGAAGGAAGGAAGGAAGAAAGGAUAAGAUGGAUAAAUGAAAAGUAAAAAUUGCUCUACAGGAGUUUUCACUCAGGAGAGAAAGCUUGUAUGAGAGGUUGACAAGGAACUGUGAGGCGGUGAUGUCCAGGUAGCUCUUCUUGGCCCGCAUGGCACACAGUGUGUUCACCACCCGCUGCAGCACCUCAGGACCCACAGCACGACCUGACCGCACUACUGCACCGCACAGCAGCAACUCAGCUAAAAGUUGGUCCCGAAUUUCCUGCAGCAUGACUCUCAGAGGGAGAGGACAAACUGAGGUGUGAAGAAAGAUGGAUGAAGGCGGAGGAGGUAGCAGAGGGUGGAGAAGUAGCCUUCCCUUGCCUUCAGGCGGGUGGAGGCAAGGCCAGACACCAGCCUGUUCACGAUGUACUUCAC